This 22-nucleotide small nuclear RNA is filed under the name Arabidopsis thaliana (thale cress). Its description in RNAcentral is "snRNA_08614". Lineage: Eukaryota; Viridiplantae; Streptophyta; Magnoliopsida; Brassicales; Brassicaceae. The record is from RNAcentral.
CAUAGGUACAUGUUACUGGAAC